UACGGAGGGAGCUAGCGUUGUUCGGAAUUACUGGGCGUAAAGCGCGCGUAGGCGGCUUUGUAAGUUAGAGGUGAAAGCCCGGGGCUCAACCCCCGGAAUUGCCUUUAAGACUGCAUCGCUUGGAUCCGGGAGAGGUGAGUGGAAUUCCGAGUGUAGAGGUGAAAUUCGUAGAUAUUCGGAAGAACACCAGUGGCGAAGGCGGCUCACUGGACCGGCAUUGACGCUGAGGUGCGAAAGCGUGGGGAGCAAACAGG
This 254-nucleotide ribosomal RNA is filed under the name uncultured bacterium. RNAcentral describes it as "partial 16S ribosomal RNA". It matches the Rfam family "Bacterial small subunit ribosomal RNA", at positions 524 to 776 of the family's 1533-position model. The record is from RNAcentral.